AGCAGUCGCCGCGGUAAUACGUAGGUCCCGAGCGUUGUCCGGAUUUAUUGGGCGUAAAGGGAGCGCAGGCGGUUUAGUAAGUCUGAAGUUAAAGGCAUUGGCUCAACCAAUGUAUGCUUUGGAAACUGUUAGACUUGAGUGCAGAAGGGGAGAGUGGAAUUCCAUGUGUAGCGGUGAAAUGCGUAGAUAUAUGGAGGAACACCGGUAGCGAAAGCGGCUCUCUGGUCUGUCACUGACGCUGAGGCUCGAAAGCGUGGGUAGCGAACAGGAUUAGAGACCCCGGUAGUCCCUGUCUCUUAUACA
This 303-nucleotide ribosomal RNA is filed under the name uncultured bacterium. Its description in RNAcentral is "partial 16S ribosomal RNA". It matches the Rfam family "Bacterial small subunit ribosomal RNA", at positions 507 to 808 of the family's 1533-position model. The record is from RNAcentral.